This is a long non-coding RNA of Salvia splendens (bonfire salvia), 1605 nucleotides long. RefSeq lists it as uncharacterized. NCBI's taxonomy places the organism in Eukaryota, Viridiplantae, Streptophyta, Magnoliopsida, Lamiales, Lamiaceae. The transcript has 2 exons. The record is from RefSeq and is a predicted model, not a curated record.
AGCUUCUCGAUCUCUCCCUCUCCUCUCGUCGACACCGCAGCGCCUCCUGCUCGAACCCCGACCAGUGACGAGCCGCCACCACCGCCGACGACUCCAGCGGCUUGAAGUCGGCAGAGCAAGCGUCGUCGACGGCCUGAUGGAGUUAGCACAGCACCGCAGUGUUUGCUUCUGUCUCAUAAAUCUCGCCGUGAAUCUUCCUCCGUCCGCGCCGUCUUUUCGCCGGUGGAGUCCCUUACUCACCCGUCUCUUUUCGGCAGCUCCGAGGCAGCCGUUAUACCUCGAGACUUGCGAGUUUCCUCCGUCCAGCGUCGGCGUCUUCCCGCAGUGACGAGCCGCCCCAGAUUCCGGCUGUCCGCGGGACGCAACGGCCUAAAGCUAAGUCCCCUCUUUUUUUCACUUUCGUUUCUUUCUUUUCUAUUUACUGUUGUUAACUAGGUAGAGUAUGUGAAAUCAUUUCCGGAUUAUUUGGCUGCCCCAUGUAAUUAUUCUGAUUCUCAAAUAGUCUUAACAAGGGUUUCAUGGUUGCGAUAAAAGAAUGUGAAAGCUGUUGGUUGAGACAAGGCUUAGCUUGCUAUUCUCGUGUUUACUGUGGUGUGUAAGUUUUGAUAUUUCAUCAAAUUAAACCCUCUGCUACGGCUAUGAGGUGAUGGUGUUCUAAGUACGCUUAAGGCUUAUUUAAAGUUCUAUGUGUUACAUGAGCAUAAACUGAGGUGUUGUGGGAUUACCUGUUGUGGAGCUGGAGCUGUGGACUCCUUCCUUUGUGGCCUAGUUCUCGGCUUGCCUUUGCAGGCUGACUGAGGUUCUUGCUUCUCGAUGAAACAGAAUAAUCUUUCCUAGACAUCUUCUUACUUUCACUCUCUCCUUCUCCUCCAUCCUUUGUCUACUGAUUGUGAAGUGGAUUUGUGGUGAAGGGGGGUAUAUAAAUGGAAGUUGUACCUUGUAGUUUGUUGAGAUUUAGCAGAAUCAAGUCUGCAAGUUCUUUGUCUUUUGUUAAACUGAUUGGCUGUUUCUUUUGGAGGUAGUGCAAGGGUGUACUCGUGGGUUUAAAUGGAGUUGUUAUACUACUUUGUUUUCUUCUUGCAGCAGCCCCUUUUUCCUUUGAUGUUGCAGCAAUUUAACUGAAGUGUUGGUAGUGAGUUUGCAGGUGUACAACAAAGGUGGAGAAAAAGGUUUGGCUGUGCCCUGCAGGCCGUUGCAGGCUGCACUGCCUCGCGGCAGCCUUCGGCUCAGGCUGUGAGUGCAGGAGGCUGUUACACUACCUCUUUUGGCAAGGCUGAUUUGUUCACUGAGUCGAGAAGGGGACCGGCCAUGGUUCGCUCGUUCCUACCGAAGGCCGGACCGUGGCCUUGGGCGUAAAGAGGAAAUUCACAAAUGCGUGCCACCGGGCACUCGGUUUCUUUAAAUUCUUAGCCAACAUUUGGAUACCCUUUGUAAUAGCAUCCGAGUUCUCUUUCUUUUUUCUUUGUUUCAACGCAUGUAACGUUUAGUAUAGUUGUCGGAUUUCAUUUCCUUAAAUUUCAUCGUCAAGUAUUUGUAAAUUAGACUUAACUUGAAAUUAGUACAUUCUGCUUAUGAAAUAAACGAAUACUCUUUCGUUGUAUUGCA